Molecule: non-coding RNA, 392 nt
Organism: Schizosaccharomyces pombe (fission yeast)
Lineage: Eukaryota; Fungi; Ascomycota; Schizosaccharomycetes; Schizosaccharomycetales; Schizosaccharomycetaceae
Source: the annotation of a GenBank genome assembly
UAACGGUACUAAACUAGUUAAUAUGCUGUCGGAAACAGAUGUUGCAAACUUAAAAGAAAGUUACAGCAAAAUUCUCUUACCUUAACGAAACCAAUGUCGUUGGCGUACUCACGGAAACUUUGACGAGAGAUGUUCAAACCGUACUUGCGGAUUAAACCGAGACGACGACCAGUGUGAGCGCUAAAUUAUGAAUUAAUACAUCACUCGUGUAUAAAAAAGAUGCUUGCUUACCAUUGUCUGCUGCCCUUUCCGUACUUGCGAGGGUGAGAGAACCAAACGUUUUCGUGGGCCAUUUUGGUGUGAAGGUAGAGAUUGUUUCAAGCGUUUCUUCUACUAGACGAAAGUCGUGACUGCUCUUCUAGGCAUAGGGUAGGGCUAAUAUAGAGAAAUAC